UCUGAUUAAGGAAACAGGAUCAAAGGAGCAUCCUGCUGCUGUCAAAUCAAAAGUAGAUGAUCGUGCUGAAAAUUUUGCAGAAAUGAAGAAAAACAUCUCUUUUCCAUAACAGUAACACAAUCUUACAGCAUGAUUCUGUCAUAAGCAGUAUGAGACAGGCAGGAAUGGAAGACACAAAAUGCAAACUCGGGGAGGCAAGCUAAGCUCAAAGGCAGCUUUAUUGCUGAACUAAAACAAUACAGAAACCAAUCUGUAAGGAACUGACACUAGACAAGCAGGCAGAACACACAGCGGCGCAUGAAGGAUAACGCAAUGCUAGACGGAGGGGUGUACUAAAAAUGCAUUAGAGGGAUUUAGGGCAAAGAGGAAACACCCGGGAACACGGCUGAAAACAAUCAACUGAUGAGACAAAGAAAGCACAGCUGAACAUGGUACACACAGAACAAGAGACUUUCAAACUAAAACAGGAAGUACGAGACACACACACUGAGACGCAGACUGAAAAAAAGAGGGAGGAUAGAGAGGGCGAGAGAAACCAGACAGACACACAGAGACAGGAAACAGCAAUUAGACGAACAUGAAGACUGACCUAACUGGGGGAAAGCUGAAGGAAGGACACAAAGACGAGACAAAGACAUAAACUGUCUGAAAUAACAACCAGGUCAAUUAAACUAGAAGUACUGAAUGAACUCAAGGGUGUAAGCAAACUAAACUAGGAAAUAUAAAAUGGACAGAGAACAUAAUGAAUAAACAAGACACCAAAACACAGUAAACACAAAACACUGGGUCAAUGGGCUAAGAACCCUAACGGAUACAGCUUACAACCCCACAAACUCCUGAAAUAAUAAUGAUUCAUGUUAUAAAUGUGAAGAUGGCUGGAAGCAACAUGAAGGAAAGUGCUAUUAUUUCUCCACAAGAAAAUCAUCCUGGGAUCAGAGCAGAACUGAAUGUAGGACUAAAGGAGGAGACCUGGUUAAGAUAGACAGCAGUGAGGAGCAGAGUUUCUUGAAGACAAAAAUUGAAUAUGGGAGCCAUUUCUGGAUCGGACUGACAGACUCAGCAGAAGAGGGCAGAUGGCUGUGGGUGGACGGCUCACCACUGAAUGAAAGGUUGGCAUCUUGGUCCUUUCUUGAGCCAGACGAUUGGAAUGGAGAGGAUUGUGUGAAGAUGGGGCGAAUGUAUUGGUUUGAUAAUUCCUGCAAAGUAAAUCAUGGAAGUAUUUGUGAGAAACCAGCUGUGGUUCUGUGUGACUAAAAUUCAGUUCAGCAUAAAAACAGUGAAAGUAAAGGACACAUUGAGACCAUUUUUAUAAAGCUAAUGCUGCAAACAUUUAAAGCUUCCAUUCAGAAAUGUUUAAAGAAAAAAAAUAUAGACACUGUUUAUAAUGAAAUAAAUGUGAAUUAUUA
Molecule: RNA transcript, 1406 nt
Organism: Oreochromis niloticus (Nile tilapia)
Lineage: Eukaryota; Metazoa; Chordata; Actinopteri; Cichliformes; Cichlidae
Exons: 4
Source: RefSeq, a predicted model, not a curated record